CCGGACAUUAAGUUGCCUUCUGAAAUUGAAGUUCCACCCAUGUGGUGUCCAUAAUUCUGCUAUAAUCCUCUAUUUAAAAAAUACCAAGUUGUAGAUAUCUGGAAAAAUCACUUCCAUAUUCCCAUCCUCAUGUCAAUUAUCCUUCUAGAACCUAGUGUUAUUUCUAUCCAUCACUUUAACCUUUAAGUUGCUUUUAACUUCAUUCCACUAGUGUCUAAUAGAUUUAAUAGAUCUCUAGAGGCUAACCCCGUAUGGUGUGGUCACUUCUUUAGUCAUUCAUCUAUCUCUCCUAGUAUACCCAUACACCAAUCUCAACAUCCUCAUUUCUGCGACAUUUAUCUUUCAAACAUGCGAGCUCUUGGCCAGCCAAACACUCUGCCCCAUGCAAGAUACCUAAGGGCAGAUACAUCAACGUGGCUUCAGAAUCAUCAAUUUUAUCUGGUAAGGUUACUUCUCCGAUGAUUGAAACAGUCAAAAUGAAGAAUUCUUUAGAACCUGCUUCGCCAGCUGUUGCUAAUUCAGAGAAAAUUAGAAUAGCAGUAACCUUGGGAAAUUCUGUCGCGCAACUGUUCUGAGACUACUACAACUCAAGAUACAGUAGUGUAUGGUGAUGGAUUUUCUUCAGAGAAUAGAGAGGUACUUCUUCCUUCUGAAAUAAAUACUAAUGUGAUUAGUUAAUUACUACUGGUUACUGGUUAAAACCCCAAGAAAGCUUUUCGUAGCUGUUAUGUUGGAUGUUGAUCUAACAAUUUUGUAGUGCAGUUGUUAGUCAACUGCUAAUAGGUGAAGAAUAUGCUCCAAAUUCAAAUGAGGUUUGCUUUUGUCCUUUGUGCUCUAUGUUGUGCCUAAAAUGCAGAAUGUCAAGAAAGAUGCUGCAAUAACUGAAAUUGGAGGUGCUACUCCAUCAGAUGAGAAAAUAGUCGAGCUGGGACCAUUAGUUUAUGAGAGCAAAGCGGUAUAGUUGAUUAUAGCUUUUUAUCCCGUUUAGUGUAUGUUCUCGAAAUUUCUCUUAUUUCUAUUUUAAGUAUC
Long non-coding RNA from Capsicum annuum, 1029 nucleotides. RefSeq lists it as uncharacterized. The record is from RefSeq and is a predicted model, not a curated record. NCBI's taxonomy places the organism in Eukaryota, Viridiplantae, Streptophyta, Magnoliopsida, Solanales, Solanaceae. The transcript is spliced from 3 exons.